UAGACUAGUAGACUGGCUACACAAA
Molecule: non-coding RNA, 25 nt
Filed under: Mus musculus (house mouse)
Lineage: Eukaryota; Metazoa; Chordata; Mammalia; Rodentia; Muridae
Source: RNAcentral